UCUAAAUGAAAGAAAGAAAAAAGACAGAUUGAAAAAAACAGCCCAAUAAUCUAUAGACAAGUCGAUCAGAGCCCAGUUAUAUUUAUAUAUUGAAAUUCGCAUGAAUUGGCAACAACAAUUGUAUUUAUUGUAUGUAUUAAUUAAUGUAAUUUAUUUAAUUUUAUAUUUCGCCAAACAAACGCAAUUCUAAUUUUAUUUCACGCCCCCCCUCGAAAUGUCCAUGAAAUGGUUGUGGCCGGGCAUCGUAGUAAAAAGAUAAACAUCUAUAGCAUCUGUAAUAGUAGCGAUUACGUACCUAUCCAAAUAUCCAAAUCCGAUUCCAAAUCCACUUCCCAGUCCAAAUUCAAAUUAAUGUCAAGGGUCAGGCACCAUAGGCAAUAAUAUGACUAAAUAUAUAUUUUACUGCAAUAUAGCCAAAAGCAAAGAAAUAAAUAACGA
Long non-coding RNA from Drosophila navojoa, 438 nucleotides. The record is from RefSeq and is a predicted model, not a curated record. Lineage: Eukaryota; Metazoa; Arthropoda; Insecta; Diptera; Drosophilidae.